Molecule: long non-coding RNA, 1093 nt
Organism: Sceloporus undulatus (fence lizard)
Lineage: Eukaryota; Metazoa; Chordata; Lepidosauria; Squamata; Phrynosomatidae
Exons: 3
Source: RefSeq, a predicted model, not a curated record
ACAAGAGGAAAACAAGGGGAAGAGAACACAUAUUGAGCUACCCAUCCUCUCAUUGUUUGCCAAAAUUAAAUCGGGAAGGUACUCUGAAACACAGGUUAAAUGACGAAAAUUAUGAAUUUAGCUCACACAAUGCCGUCAAACGGAAAAGGAAAAGAUACAUGGGAUGGGAAGGGGCCACACCAAGGUCCCACAAGUUCAAUGGAGCAUUUAUCAACCAUCUGGCAGUGACUGCAGGCAUCCUUCCUCAGUGGGUAUCAGCUUCUGUGAGCGAAGGCCACAGACAACUAAACAGGAAUUACAUACAAUGAAGAUGUGAUAUGAGAACUUUUUCCCCCAAAAGCACAAAGAAUUCCUCAAGGAAACUAUGUUUUUCCCCCCAGGAGUAUGACAUGAUUGAAGCCCAGAGAUCAGCUAUGAGAUUCUGAAAUGUGUAGAAUACCUGAAGUAUAAGGAAAGUAUUUGAAUAUGCAGUUUAAAGAGAAGAAAAAUCCUACACAAUAAAAACAGAAGAAACCAUCUGUGGCAUGGCAAGCCCUGCCUCAUUACUUUUCUGAGAUGCCAGUACAAUGGGUCUUUUAAACCCACCGCUUAGCACCAAGAUGUGACAUGGCAGUGGAGAGACUCUCACUCAGGACCAGGAUCCUAUGGUGAUUCCUUCCUUAUCUGAUGCCACUGCUGCCACCAAUUUCUGCCACAGCUUUGCAACUACCUCACCACCUGCCAACACAUUUGUAAAUCCCACUACUACUACUACGACUUCACUAGCUGCCACCAAUUAUGUGUCAGGACGACAAUGUGUCACUGCCAAAUCUCUUAAAUCCCUUUACACUAUGUGCCAGCAUGACACCAAUUAUGUGUGAAGACCCUCCAACUCGGAUCUCUCACAAAUGACUUCCACACUAGAACUCUCUUCAACUGCCAACACUCUGGACACUCAUUGCCAAUUGAUAACUGCGCCAGCCCUACCUGAAUGGUCCUAGAGAGAAUCUUUUCUUUCUUGGUAGUGUUUUAAAUACAUUUGGUAGCAUGUAUGGUGUUAUCUUUAAAAACACUUCAGGCAACUUCUUGUUGAAAUAAAGGGAAGGAUUUUAUU